This is a long non-coding RNA of Rosa chinensis, 498 nucleotides long. RefSeq lists it as uncharacterized. Lineage: Eukaryota; Viridiplantae; Streptophyta; Magnoliopsida; Rosales; Rosaceae. The transcript is spliced from 2 exons. The record is from RefSeq and is a predicted model, not a curated record.
UUUGGUGUAUCCACAUGAAUCAAUGCCUUCUCAUAACACCAAUGACCUCAUACAGAAAAUAAUUGAAGAGGUUAAAGAGAAAGUGAAAGAGGCUUUCACAAAGAAGAUGCAGGACCAAUUAGAUAUGCUUCAAGCUCGGAUUAACUUUUUAGAGAGAAAUGAGGGGCAAAACAGAAAUCUAUGUGGAUACGUUGGUUCAUGAUGCAACCAGUGGCCAUGAAGUUAGAAGGGAGUCCAUACGAGAAGGAGUUCAUCCACAUUCAACUAGUAAUCAAGAAAUUGAGCAUGCUUCAGUACCCACAAAGCCCCUCUAGUUAAUGAUAACUAGUAUUGCCUCUCUGGUUAAUGAUAACUACUAGUAUUGUGGUCAAGGAUGCGUUUGAACAAUAUUAAGUUUGGCAAUGUUUCCUUUCAGUUAUCUAGUAUGGUAGGACCUUAUAAUUAUGAAAUGUGGUUGGUUUGGUUUGUACUUGGUAAUGAAGUAUAACUUGGCACUUA